Molecule: ribosomal RNA, 471 nt
Filed under: uncultured bacterium
Lineage: Bacteria
Description: bacterial SSU rRNA
Rfam family: Bacterial small subunit ribosomal RNA
Source: RNAcentral
AACGCUGGCGGCACGCUUAACACAUGCAAGUCGAACGGAGAUAUUUGGUUACUGAGAUAUCUUAGUGGCGGAACGGGUGAGUAACACGUGAGCAACCUGCCUUUGAGAGAGGGAUAGCUUCUGGAAACGGAUGGUAAUACCUCAUGACAUACUUUUAUCGCAUGGUAGAAGUAUCAAAGAUUUAUCACUCAGAGAUGGGCUCGCGUCUGAUUAGCUAGUUGGUGAGGUAACGGCUCACCCAAGGCGACGAUCAGUAGCCGGACUGAGAGGUUGAACGGCCACAUUGGGACUGAGACACGGCCCAGACUCCUACGGGAGGCAGCAGUGGGGAAUAUUGCACAAUGGGGGAAACCCUGAUGCAGCGAUGCCGCGUGGAGGAAGAAGGUUUUCGGAUUGUAAACUCCUGUCUUAAAGGACGAUAAUGACGGUACUUUAGGAGGAAGCUCCGGCUAACUACGUGCCAGCCGCAGC